UGCCUGCUGAAUAUCGCAGCGAAGUGAGACCACUUGAAGCUUACGAAGCUCUUCCAUACGACCAAUAUGCCUAUUAUUUCACCGUACAUGCCGAUGAAGACAUACGUUAUAAAUACGUCAACCCCGGCGACUCGUCUGGCUGGGAUUAUAGCCGUACAUGAAGACCUGAUGGAAAUCUUGACGCGAUUGCUUCGAAGGUUGCGGCUGUUGUAUAGAUUGAGAUAUUUAAUGGACGACUCGUUCUACUCGGAUUUAUUAACGCCAUACGAGUAGGCUUCUGUCUGAGUCUCCACCAAGCACUGCUCCCUCGUCCUCGAGAAGCCCUUCGCCAGACAGCUCCGGUCACACAUCCCCUGCCUCGACGAAAUGGAAGACCUCUUCAGGCGGGCUCUUGAUAAAUGAUAUAACGAAAUGUAAUUUUGUAAUAUUGAGAUGGUGCGAGUUGAAGGUGCUAUUUGUUUG
Ostrinia nubilalis (European corn borer) is the source of this 462-nucleotide long non-coding RNA. RefSeq lists it as uncharacterized. The record is from RefSeq and is a predicted model, not a curated record. NCBI's taxonomy places the organism in Eukaryota, Metazoa, Arthropoda, Insecta, Lepidoptera, Crambidae. The transcript has 3 exons.